RNAcentral lists this ribosomal RNA (292 nucleotides) under uncultured bacterium. RNAcentral describes it as "partial 16S ribosomal RNA". It matches the Rfam family "Bacterial small subunit ribosomal RNA", at positions 505 to 796 of the family's 1533-position model. The record is from RNAcentral.
GUGCCAGCCGCCGCGGUAAUACGUAGGGUGCAAGCGUUAAUCGGAAUUACUGGGCGUAAAGCGUGCGCAGGCGGUUAUAUAAGACAGAUGUGAAAUCCCCGGGCUCAACCUGGGAACUGCAUUUGUGACUGUAUAGCUAGAGUACGGUAGAGGGGGAUGGAAUUCCGCGUGUAGCAGUGAAAUGCGUAGAUAUGCGGAGGAACACCGAUGGCGAAGGCAAUCCCCUGGACCUGUACUGACGCUCAUGCACGAAAGCGUGGGGAGCAAACAGGAUUAGAUACCCGGGUAGUCC